GGAGUCGGCCAGACAGUCGCGUCACUCGCAAGAGUGCCGAGGAAAGUCCGGGCUCCAUAGGGCAAGGUGCCAGGUAACGCCUGGGCGGCGCAAGCCGACGGACAGUGCAACAGAAAGAUACCGCCUACGUUCCUUUCGGGGAGCCGGUAAGGGUGAAAUGGUGCGGUAAGAGCGCACCGCGAGUCCGGUAACGGACCGGCACGGCAAACCCCACCUGGAGCAAGACCAAAUAGGGAUCCAUUGGCGUGGCCCGCGCUGGAUCCGGGUAGGUUGCUUGAGCGCUGCGGUGACGUAGCGCCUAGACGAAUGACUGUCCACGACAGAACCCGGCUUAUCGGCCGGCUCCGCCG
Molecule: RNase P RNA, 350 nt
Filed under: Xanthomonas oryzae
Lineage: Bacteria; Pseudomonadati; Pseudomonadota; Gammaproteobacteria; Lysobacterales; Lysobacteraceae
Also listed under: 5 other names
Description: bacterial RNase P
Rfam family: Bacterial RNase P class A
About the family: Ribonuclease P (RNase P) is a ubiquitous endoribonuclease, found in archaea, bacteria and eukarya as well as chloroplasts and mitochondria. Its best characterised activity is the generation of mature 5'-ends of tRNAs by cleaving the 5'-leader elements of precursor-tRNAs. Cellular RNase Ps are ribonucleoproteins.
Source: RNAcentral